GACGAACGCUGGCGGCGUGCUUAACACAUGCAAGUCGAACGGAAAGGCCCUGCUUGCAGGGUACUCGAGUGGCGAACGGGUGAGUAACACGUGGGUGAUCUGCCCUGCACUUCGGGAUAAGCUUGGGAAACUGGGUCUAAUACCGGAUAGGAACCAUCUUUAGUGUGGUGGUUGGAAAGUUUUUUCGGUGUAGGAUGAGCUCGCGGCCUAUCAGCUUGUUGGUGGGGUAAUGGCCUACCAAGGCGGCGACGGGUAGCCGGCCUGAGAGGGUGUACGGCCACAUUGGGACGGAGAUACGGCCCAGACUCCUACGGGAGGCAGCAGUGGGGAAUAUUGCACAAUGGGCGCAAGCCUGAUGCAGCGACGCCGCGUGGGGGAUGAAGGCCUUCGGGUUGUAAACUCCUUUCGCUAGGGACGAAGCUUUGUUGUGACGGUACCUAGAUAAGAAGCACCGGCUAACUACGUG
RNAcentral lists this ribosomal RNA (466 nucleotides) under uncultured bacterium. Its description in RNAcentral is "partial 16S ribosomal RNA". It matches the Rfam family "Bacterial small subunit ribosomal RNA", at positions 28 to 507 of the family's 1533-position model. The record is from RNAcentral.